UUGGCUCUCGCAUCGAUGAAGAACGCAGCGAAAUGCGAUAAGUAAUGUGAAUUGCAGAAUUCAGUGAAUCAUCGAAUCUUUGAACGCACCUUGCGCUCCUUGGUAUUCCGAGGAGCAUGCCUGUUUGAGUGUCAUUAAAUUCUCAACCUCACUAACUUUGUCAUGAAGUUUGUGUGUAGGCUUGGAGGUGGGGGGUUUGCAGGUCCACAACUGUGGUCUGCUCCUCUG
RNAcentral lists this ribosomal RNA (228 nucleotides) under Coprinopsis stercorea. RNAcentral's name for it is "5.8S ribosomal RNA". The stretch from base 1 to 134 matches the Rfam family "5.8S ribosomal RNA", at positions 21 to 154 of the family's 154-position model. Rfam says of the family: 5.8S ribosomal RNA (5.8S rRNA) is a component of the large subunit of the eukaryotic ribosome. It is transcribed by RNA polymerase I as part of the 45S precursor that also contains 18S and 28S rRNA. Lineage: Eukaryota; Fungi; Basidiomycota; Agaricomycetes; Agaricales; Psathyrellaceae. The record is from RNAcentral.